GGACUACACGGGUUUCUAAUCCUGUUUGCUCCCCACGCUUUCGCGUCUGAGCGUCAGUCACCGUCCAGAAGGCCGCCUUCGCUACCGGUAUUCCUCCCAGUAUCUACGGAUUUCACCCCUACACUGGGAAUUCUGCCUUCCUCUCCGGGACUCUAGCUAGGUAGUUUCGGUCGCAAUUCCAGGGUUAAGCCCGGGGAUUUCACAACCGACUUGCCAAGCCGCCUACACGCGCUUUACGCCCAGUAAUUCCGAACAACGCUUGCACCCUCCGUAUUACCGCGGCGGCUGGCAC
RNAcentral lists this ribosomal RNA (292 nucleotides) under uncultured bacterium. RNAcentral's name for it is "partial 16S ribosomal RNA". The record is from RNAcentral.